CAGGGAUUGCCUUAGUAACGGCGAGUGAAGCGGCAAAAGCUCAAAUUUGAAAUCUGGCACCUUCGGUGUCCGAGUUGUAAUUUGAAGAAGGUAACUUUGGAGUUGGCUCUUGUCUAUGUUCCUUGGAACAGGACGUCACAGAGGGUGAGAAUCCCGUGCGAUGAGAUGCCCAAUUCUAUGUAAAGUGCUUUCGAAGAGUCGAGUUGUUUGGGAAUGCAGCUCUAAGUGGGUGGUAAAUUCCAUCUAAAGCUAAAUAUUGGCGAGAGACCGAUAGCGAACAAGUACAGUGAUGGAAAGAUGAAAAGAACUUUGAAAAGAGAGUGAAAAAGUACGUGAAAUUGUUGAAAGGGAAGGGCUUGAGAUCAGACUUGGUAUUUUGCGAUCCUUUCCUUCUUGGUUGGGUUCCUCGCAGCUUACUGGGCCAGCAUCGGUUUGGAUGGUAGGAUAAUGACUAAGGAAUGUGGCUCUACUUCGGUGGAGUGUUAUAGCCUUGGUUGAUACUGCCUGUCUAGACCGAGGACUGCGUCUUUU
RNAcentral lists this ribosomal RNA (531 nucleotides) under Debaryomyces hansenii. Its description in RNAcentral is "eukaryotic LSU rRNA". It matches the Rfam family "Eukaryotic large subunit ribosomal RNA", at positions 69 to 605 of the family's 3401-position model. The record is from RNAcentral. Lineage: Eukaryota; Fungi; Ascomycota; Pichiomycetes; Serinales; Debaryomycetaceae.